RNAcentral lists this small RNA (726 nucleotides) under Vigna angularis var. angularis. RNAcentral's name for it is "Non-protein coding transcript". The record is from RNAcentral. Lineage: Eukaryota; Viridiplantae; Streptophyta; Magnoliopsida; Fabales; Fabaceae.
UGCCAUGGUUGCAAUGAUUGGGGUUGGUUUGAUUUUUCUGUUUUACAGGUUUCAGUGGAGGUGGUACGCGGUGAUUACCAAGGUUAUGAUGGCUGGGUUAGGGCUUGCAUGACCAAAAGGAAAUUGAGGAAUUGGGAGGAUGAAUUUAGAGGUUGUAAAAAUAUCAAAGCUUUGAUGUUGAGGAAGGGAUAACCUGAAAACCAGGUGCUUUCGAAAGAUAAAAUGAAGAGCUUCAUGGAAGGCUGGCCAUGGGAAGUCAAAACAGAGUAACCACUUUACUCUGUAAAACCACUUUCCCAGCGGAACUUUUCCCUCUUCCGCGCCAUCAUAUCCCUGCUUGUUCGUCACUCCCCGACACCACUCUCCUCACUCAAAGCCUUUGAAGAAAACAAAAUCCCUAAAUUUUAACAUCAGAAAAGGAUUAUUUUUCAAUUUGAUAUUAUGUAAGGAGUGGUGGGAUGGAAAAUCUGAAUCGAGGUGUUCAUCUUCUCUCGUGUGUUCGUCUCCUAUAUUCACUGAUAAAAUCCCUAAUUCCAUUUCUCUAACCCUAUUUAACAAUCCUAAGAAAUUCUUAAUAUUAUUAAUUCAAUUUUGUCUCAAGUCAAAAACUAUUAAUUUAAAUAAAAAUUCCAUGUAAAUUAACAAUUUUAUAUUAGUGAUUAAGUGUAAAUCAUGUCAACAAAUUUUAACGUUGUUUGUCAACCCUUAACGAAAAAAGUUUAAUUA